This 461-nucleotide ribosomal RNA is filed under the name Priestia megaterium. RNAcentral's name for it is "bacterial LSU rRNA". It matches the Rfam family "Bacterial large subunit ribosomal RNA", at positions 2467 to 2925 of the family's 2925-position model. Lineage: Bacteria; Bacillati; Bacillota; Bacilli; Caryophanales; Bacillaceae. The record is from RNAcentral.
CCCGGGGAUAACAGGCUUAUCUCCCCCUAGAGUCCACAUCGACGGGGAGGUUUGGCACCUCGAUGUCGGCUCAUCGCAUCCUGGGGCUGUAGUCGGUCCCAAGGGUUGGGCUGUUCGCCCAUUAAAGCGGUACGCGAGCUGGGUUCAGAACGUCGUGAGACAGUUCGGUCCCUAUCCGUCGUGGGCGUAGGAAAUUUGAGAGGAGCUGUCCUUAGUACGAGAGGACCGGGAUGGACACACCGCUGGUGUACCAGUUGUCUUGCCAAAGGCAUCGCUGGGUAGCUAUGUGUGGAMGGGAUAAGUGCUGAAAGCAUCUAAGCAUGAAGCCCCCCUCAAGAUGAGAUUUCCCAUAGCGCAAGCUAGUAAGAUCCCUGAAAGAUGAUCAGGUUGAUAGGUCAGAGGUGGAAGCGUGGCGACAUGUGUAGCUGACUGAUACUAAUCGAUCGAGGACUUAACCAAAC